UAGAAAUUCCAGUGACAGACCUCUCUGUCUAGAUGCUGUCCAGUGAAGAGCUCCACUCUGAAUAGCUACAGAUGCAGCAGAGCAACCAACACUCCUCUGCUUGGAUAAUCAGAGGCUUUGACAGAAUGAAGUCCAGUUGCUUUUAGGUACAAGAGAAUAAACAAAUGUUCUUUAGUAGGAUCAAUUUUAAAAGAUGUCAGCCAGAAGAUGUCCUUUGCUGCCGUGGCAGAAAACGUCAGAGUGAUAUCCAAGGACAGGAGGAUUGAUGGAAAAGGAAUUGUCAGGGGAAAUGUAGCAGGAGUUUAAAGAACUGUGUGAUAAGGAAGACUGUUUCAGCUUCAGCUUGACUCCUAUUGAACAGGAGAGUGCUGCUGUGUUGUGAUGAUGACCGUGGUUAUAAACAAUUGCAAAUGGAUUUCUCCUGCCUGCAUCAACAUCACCAUGGAGCAGCAGCCAGCCUGGAGGUACAUACACACUGAGUUAGAUGUAAUAGGAUGUGUGGUAUUAUGUGGUGCUGGUAG
Molecule: long non-coding RNA, 521 nt
Organism: Pseudopipra pipra
Lineage: Eukaryota; Metazoa; Chordata; Aves; Passeriformes; Pipridae
Exons: 3
Source: RefSeq, a predicted model, not a curated record